AUUUCUGAUAAGUCACACAGAAGUUUGGGGAUAGCCAAAGACAAUAAGAGACGCAACAACCUCCCGCAGAUCUAUGGUGGUACACCCCACUGGCCUUAACCUAUCGAGAUUGGGUCGCUCCUAAAAGGGAGCCACCGGAUCCAUCCGCCAUAGAAGCAGAUUCAAGUCGACCGUACCCGUUGGAGACGCUGGGAAGGCCGUAAUCUACCAUGACCUCCC
This 219-nucleotide long non-coding RNA is filed under the name Setaria italica (foxtail millet). RNAcentral's name for it is "long non-coding RNA (SITA_LNC002064)". Lineage: Eukaryota; Viridiplantae; Streptophyta; Magnoliopsida; Poales; Poaceae. The record is from RNAcentral.